UAGUUGCUCAUCCGGGUUUCUACCCGGUGCACUCUUCUACGGGCAGGCCAGCAUCAGUUUGGGCGGUUGGAUAAAGGUCUCUGUCAUGUACCUCUCUUCGGGGAGAACUUAUAGGGGAGACGACAUGCAACCAGCCUGGACUGAGGUCCGCGCAUCUGCUAGGAUGCUGGCGUAAUGGCUGUAAGCGGCCCGUCUUGAAACACGGACCAAGGAGUCACACGGACCAAGGAGUCAAGUUAGGCC
Molecule: ribosomal RNA, 243 nt
Filed under: uncultured fungus
Lineage: Eukaryota; Fungi
Description: partial 28S ribosomal RNA
Source: RNAcentral